GCCAGACUGUGGAGGAAGAGAGAGUGAGAUCGCUAGAUUUGAUGAUUUAAACUGUGAAAUCAGAUUAUAACUUUGAAACUAGUUUGAGAAACUUACAAAAAGCUUUCAUAGAGAAGUAUUUGAAGAGGAUUCAGUCGUUAAAUUGAUCCUGUGACGAUCGAUGGGAAAAUUGCAUCAUUGUGUUGUUGAGGAGUGAAUAUAUGGACAUGGUCAGGUUUUUUUUCUUUGGUGUUUUUGAUUGAAGACUGAUUCACAUUGAUGGCGGGCCAACCUAUUCGGACACUAGAAAAGGAAAUUGGAAAUUCACCCUACUGAACCAGGAGAGUACUUUAAUACUUUUUAUUUUUCCAGCUCAAGGUAAAAGACUGUUUUUUCCGUUUCUGGAUAGAGACUGUUCAUGUUUUUUCCCUGAGAACUGAUUAAGAAAAAGACUAAUACCAGCGCACGGACACUUGGAAAUCAAACUAUUUUCCUUUUGAAGUGAAAUGAGAAAUACUGAGUUUGUUGAUUCUGAACAAGUGGUUUUCUUUACAUUUUCAAUGUAAUUUCAAUUGAACUUUAUUUUGUUUUAUUGUGUUUUAAUUGUUUAUUGUAUUUUGUUAAUUUUAUUUUGGGGAAAGAUCUGCAGAAAAAUAUAUCUAUAAACAUUUCAAAUACUUACCUA
Molecule: non-coding RNA, 664 nt
Organism: Danio rerio (zebrafish)
Lineage: Eukaryota; Metazoa; Chordata; Actinopteri; Cypriniformes; Danionidae
Source: RefSeq, a predicted model, not a curated record